CUGGUUUAACCGGUCCCCGCGUUUCUAGCCGGUAGAUUCAUACACCUGGCUGCUCAUUCUUCAAUCAAAUCCCUCACAUCCAUUUUCAAUGGGGUCUGUGUGAAACAGGGUAGAAUAGGAAGGAAUAGAUUCCUCCUCGGCGAGUUUACUUCUUUUCAAGCAAUUUUAAGAGCAAACCUGUGCACUGUUGUCCCGCAGAUCAUGUUGUGAGAGAUGAAUGAGAUCAUCCAAACCCAUGGGACCUUUAGGGUUUUGGGACACAUUGAUUAAUUCGAAACCGCUUCGAUUGGUGUCUUUCAGCUCUUCCCAUGCAAGCAUGUCUUUGAUGUUUUCUCUUUGCAUUUCACUCCCCCUGUCCAUGCGAUCACUUUAAGUUCCUGAGUCGAGGUUCUACAUUUCUACACCUUCCUCCUUUUCCCUUCGUGUUUGGCUUCGAGGAAAGGAAAGGAUCGUCCUCACUCCAGAAAUUUAAUUUUGAAAUCUGGAUGAGAGAUUGUUAUUGUUCACGACGAUUGCAGCUACUUCACAAUUCAAGGUGUGAAGAGUUGCAAGUACGAUUACUCAUAUGGAUUAAGAAAUAAUCCGUCGUUGAUCAUCAGAAUCCCUUUGUAUGAACAUGUUGAAUCUGGCAUGGUCAUCACCAGAGAAUGAGAUAAAGGGUUGCAAUGUAUGUUAACGAUCUUAAAUGCAAACCUUAAAGUGAAACACAACCAAUUUCGUCUUGUGAUGAGCUGUUAUCCUAAUUUUUUUGAUAAGAGUGUCAGGGAUUGUAUGAUGAUGGUUCGGUUAGAUCGCAUUUCACUCAAAUCUAAAACGAGAACUACACAGGUUGCCGCUACUGUUCACGCGCAUCAUACUUUGUUGGUUUAGUUUAACUGCGAUGGCUGUUUUCAGGUAGAUUUUUUUCACUCGCUGCAGAAUUAUUGAUCGCUGUCCAAGCACAGUUUUGAUAUUGUUUUUAUCCAAUGGAUCUUGAUAAGGAAGCCCUGCCUGCUUAUUUGUGGUCUCGGUCCAUCAAAUUUGAUGACAGGGCAAUAUGUUCAAGAUUUAUUUCUAGUCCACCACAGCUUACAAUCCUGAUAUCGCAAGUUUACGAGAAAUUCUGAUUUACUGUUGAUGGGAAGAGGCGGUUCGUGGAUUCCAACCUCCUCCCAAGUCUUGAGAGGCAAACCGAGUAUCUUCAUAACUUCAGGCUUGGACUGUUAGUGGGAAUCACAGCAAAUAUAAACACCAAUUUUAAGUCAGCAAUCCUCAACAAUUAAGAUUGUAUGUGCGUUUGAUCGGGCAUGGCUAUUGUCCUCAAAGCUUGAACAAAUAUCCUUGGUUAAACGAUUCUUCCACAGUCCAAAACAAAGCUUGCGGCGAUGCCUAAAGAUUUCAACUUCUCAUAGCCAUUUUACACAACAGGUACAAGUAUUCGCAUCUGCAGGAAGAUUUCCAUGUUGAGUGGACCGAAGCUGUCAUUGACGUCUCAGUAAGGUUUCAGUGAAGGCGUUAUCAGUUCCGAGAACCAUUAUCUGAUGCAACCGUAACCUAAAGCGAUGUGGACCUGGGAAGAAUGGACCUGAUGGUCUGCAGAUGCCAGGGCUGCAGGAGCCUGUAAAGAGUGAGUAGCUAUUCCAUGGCGGAAACUGAAGGCACAGUGAGGCAACGAGGCAAUGAUGAUGUAGACCGUCCUCGGCUUCGCAGUGAGGACAUUGCAGCUUCAUCAUCAAGCAACAGUUGCCAAUCCGAUCCUAGUCACAGGUUAUCCUUCAGAAGACCUGAUGGAAAUUCUGUAGAGACAGGUCCUUCAGACCUCAAGUCAUUAGAGAGGGUUCUAAGGAAGGAGUCAAUAGUGGAUGUCAUUGAGGUGGCUCCACUGACUGUUCCGUCUACACCAGUGAGAGAUAACAUUGAUAUUGCGAGCCAUGAUGUCAAGGGCAACCUUGAGUUAGCAUCUGAAAGACUCAGUAAGCUUUCUCCCACAGAUUGAAAUCGAUUCAAUGUGCAUUCAAUUCUCCUGAUUAAAAAAGUGUGAGUAUAACUGGAUGCGUUCAUCAACCAGUAAUGCUGCACCUGAAUUUCCUCA
Molecule: non-coding RNA, 2071 nt
Organism: Physcomitrium patens
Lineage: Eukaryota; Viridiplantae; Streptophyta; Bryopsida; Funariales; Funariaceae
Source: RefSeq, a predicted model, not a curated record